RNAcentral lists this ribosomal RNA (672 nucleotides) under Triticum aestivum (bread wheat). RNAcentral describes it as "partial small subunit ribosomal RNA". Lineage: Eukaryota; Viridiplantae; Streptophyta; Magnoliopsida; Poales; Poaceae. The record is from RNAcentral.
AUGGCCGCGCGUCGGAUAUCGGCCAGGUCGGAGAGCCACGGGGGCAUGACGAGCAGCCACGCGGAGUCCGGGAAGUUGAGGCACGCCGCGGCGGAGGCGGAGUGGCCGAGCAGCGCGAGCAUGGCGGCGUCGUGCGCGCGCGCGGCCGACUCGGCGGCGGCGUACGUCCCGAGCCAGAGCCGCUCGCCGCGCUUGCCGGGGACGCGCACCUCGCACACCCACCGGCCCGCGCUGCCCCGGCGCCGCACGCCGCGGUACACCGGGUGGCGCGUCUCCUUGAACUUGGUGCGCCCGGCGGGCCGCUUCGCCGCCGGCGACCACACAGGCACCACCUCCCCGUGCUCGUGCCCGGACGUCGAUGAGGAAGGGGAGCUGAUCCAGCUGUCGAUGGCCGUGUCCAUCGCUUGCUGCCGGAGUGCCGAUUGCUUUUGCUGGAGCGCGACUGCCACUGGGGUACGUGUGGAGUGUGAGCUUGAGGCUUUGGGUAGUCGAGUGUGGUGUCCAGAGUGCGCUCACUCAUUUAUAGUUAUGCGUGACGCAGCAGGGAUAUACGACUGGCACACGUCGGCGAGGGGGCGCGCGGCUGCUGGCCAUGGAAGCAGAAUGCCCCUGAUAUUUUCGCUCCUGCUGCUGGUCGACGAUUGGCGCUGGGGCGUUUGGGUUCCACGGUGA